Molecule: non-coding RNA, 951 nt
Organism: Cyanistes caeruleus (blue tit)
Lineage: Eukaryota; Metazoa; Chordata; Aves; Passeriformes; Paridae
Source: RefSeq, a predicted model, not a curated record
GCUCCAGCACAUUCUAUGACUGUAUGAUGACACACUCUUUCAUGUGUCCUGUGAGUACACUGGUCAUCAGCAAGAGGACAGAACAGAAUUGCUGAAGAUUUAAAAUGGCUGUUUCUGCAGGCAAUGCUUGCAGAGAGUGCUCUGCAGGGCUACACCAAUCGUAGGGGUUAAGGCAUUCUCAGUGUUGCUACAAUUACUGGCUCCAAUUGUUCUAAGCUCAACCAUUUUCUAGCAGAUACAUGUUAACCCUUUAUCUUCAUGGCAUCCUGUUUCAUGCCUCACCAUCAAGGAAUAGGGUAUUCCUCAGGCAUAGGAAUGGGGAUAGAGAAAGCUGCUCAGAUGCUGCUGUUGCCUGACUGCACCAGAGGACUCUGACAUCUUGGUGUGGGAAAUUACUGCCCAAAAUAUAAAAGAAAAGGGAUUGGAGGAUGUGUAUGUCCAGGAUUUCCAUACCUUAUAGAAUCCUGUCAAUGCUACUUCUCCAGCUGAGGUAUGCACACCAAUCUACUAGAAAGAGAGGGACAACCCAAUUUUGACACUGAUCUAGGCAAUGUUUGCCUAUGAAUAAUGACAAGGAAGUCAAGAACAGAUAAAUCUUUGGAGAGAGAAGUCUGUCUUCAGCAGGAGAGGCUAGCUCUUUUUAACUAAAGUCUCCCGUGGUAUCAGCUUGCUUGACAUUUCUGAAGAAGUGAUUUGGUUUCAAGUAGAAAGGAUUCUUUGGUUACCCAUGCAACUGAUGAACCCUAGGUGGUACACAAAUAUUUUUAUCCUAAUGAUCAAAAUGGAUGGAAAUAUAGGAUGAAUUGUUUUUUUCACUCCCUGAAGAUACUGGCUGAGACAUACUGACAUAACAGUACCAGUAGAAGCAGGUAUUUAAGGGUGGAUUUUUCAUUUUUUAAAGAGGGGACUUUGGCUCUCAGUCUGUCCCUAUUAAACCUGUUAAACUGCAUU